This 493-nucleotide ribosomal RNA is filed under the name uncultured bacterium. Its description in RNAcentral is "partial 16S ribosomal RNA". It matches the Rfam family "Bacterial small subunit ribosomal RNA", at positions 30 to 523 of the family's 1533-position model. The record is from RNAcentral.
AUUGAACGCUGGCGGCAUACUUUACACAUGCAAGUCGAACGGUAACAGGUUAAGCUGACGAGUGGCGAACGGGUGAGUAAUGCAUCGGAACGUGCCCGAUCGUGGGGGAUAACGCAGCGAAAGCUGCGCUAAUACCGCAUACGAUCUGAGGAUGAAAGCGGGGGACCGUAAGGCCUCGCGCGAUCGGAGCGGCCGAUGUCAGAUUAGGUAGUUAGUGGGGUAAAGGCUCACCAAGCCGACGAUCUGUAGCUGGUCUGAGAGGACGACCAGCCACACUGGGACUGAGACACGGCCCAGACUCCUACGGGAGGCAGCAGUGGGGAAUUUUGGACAAUGGGCGCAAGCCUGAUCCAGCAAUGCCGCGUGCAGGAAGAAGGCCUUCGGGUUGUAAACUGCUUUUGUACGGAGCGAAAAGGCUCUCUCUAAUACAGGGGGCUCAUGACGGUACCGUAAGAAUAAGCACCGGCUAACUACGUGCCAGCAGCCGCCGUAA